GUUCUGGAAGAUGAGCGCUGGAGGCAGUGUUUCAAGGCAGAACAGCUUGGACAAGAGACCUAAGAUGGGAAUGAACUUAAACAACAGAAAGUAAACCAGUGCACCUAAGCAAAGAAAAGGGCGCUGGAGGAAGCGGUUAUUAAGAACCAUCCCUGGGAAUGUGGCAGAGACCCACUGAGAAACAGAGCUUGCCUUCAGAUGCCUCAGCCAGAACCAGCUGAACUGAAAUGCACAAAAGGUACCUCAAGCUCAAGCUUCUGCCUCUUUUAAAAGGGCUGUGGGAGCUGUCUUCUCUACCUUUCCCAUCAUCCUUAUCUUUUUCUAGGAAAAAAAGAAGAGAAAAAUUCUUAAACUCAUUCCCCUAUUCUCCUCCCCUGCUAUGGAUACAACCAUUUAGAAUUUGGCCUUGUCUCCACUGAGCACACGACUUGCUAUCUUCUCAGAAUGGCCCCUAUUUGAUCAGGACCCCAAAUUCCUUUCAGUUUCUUUAGUUCAGUGAAAGUUAUCCCUCAAAACAAAAGCAAAAGCAAAAUCCUCCCUGCCCCCAUUCCCCAGAACUGUGAAAGUCCCACAUCCCACUCCCCCCUCCUCUAACUAAAAUAUUUAUAUACAUACAAGGAAAAUUGUCUUAACAGCAACAAAACAAACUUUGGCUUGGGGGGGGCCUUAAAAACGGCCAGUGGACUGGGCAGUUUUGUGUCCCCUUAUUCUACGUAUUCCUCCCCAGAAUUAAUAAUAAUUGCAUCGAGGCCUCUAGCUUCCUUGAUGUCUCCCCUAGUUUCAGGCACAGCCUCUCCCCCAGUUAUUAGGGGAAAGGAUUCUAAAGGGGGAGAAGAUAUGUAUUAUAUAUGACAGGCCAGUGCCCUCCCAAGAUAUAUCACUCUGCUUGCAAAGAAUGCUUGAUGCUGUCAUAUGUCAGUCAUUUUAAUUCAGGGACAUGAAUCAGUUACCAGUCAAGAACAUGUGUGGAGGCAGGAGUUAAAAAAACAAACCAAAAACAAAGCCAUAACAAACCAGAAGCUCCAUGUCUCUGAAUUACUCCCUUUAGCAGCUAUCCCUUGGGUGAAAGGUCACCCUAGUACCAAUGUGAACAGACCAGGGAGCCAAAAAGACCGUGCUUUCCUAUAUCCUAAUGCCUUCAUUUUGGAAAUGCUGUAGGACACUUGCUUUUAUCAGUUAUAUCUAAUAGCUAGAAGAGAAAUACUUUUUCCCCUACUUUGAUAACAUAUAAAAUUAAAGCCAGAUAGCGAUAGCAGUGACUCACUGCUGUGGCCACUGCAUGACUCUUUCUGGCAAUAUAUUAUUAAGAUCCUUGCCAUUUCAGACCCUCCUUCCAAUAUGGGAGGGGAGCAACCUCAGGGGCUCCGUAGUUUAUGUCCUGUAGUGUUAAUGUAUACCAAGUGGUCCAGGUGCUCAGCUGGGUGUCUCUGGAGGAUAACAAGAAGCUGGGUGCAAUGGCCACAAGGGCUCAAGACUGUGGACAGAGAAGUGACUCAUAAAGGCUCUGGAAGAUGAAAAUUCCUAUGGCUUUGGAGCGAGUACAAAGUGCCUCUGCCUGCCCUUAUAUGUCCUGAUCACCAAAACUUCCAGGGACAGCUGACCUAGGGCCUGGUGAUUUAUCUUUCCCCACUGGAUUCUUUAUUAUAUUUUUUAUACUUUGUUUGUACUUUCUGAUGAAAGAAAAAGAUAAGGAAUAUCAGAUCUUCUAAUAUUCCUUUUCUUUUCCUUACUCUCUUUAAUGGCUGUCAGCAAUUUGUACUUCUAAUCCUCAACCUGUGUCCAGAUACCUGGCCACUGGCUUAUUCUUCUGUCCCUGGGUCCUAAAUUCCUGAAUCUUGAGGACAUGGGAGCAGGGUGUUAAUAAAAGAAUAGAUGAGCUAAGCUGAGGUUCAAUUAAAGGGGAAGAAGCCCAGCAGGAAUGCUAGGAUUAAAGAAAAGAAAUGAUCUUUUUCAUACUCCAGAGUUCAUUCUGAGAUCGGUUUCCUAAUGAGGUGUUUAUUAUCCACAGUCUGAGAGCAUGUUUGGAAAUAUCAAUACUAUAAUUCCAAAAACUAUGCCAAGUGUCUCAGGCUGUGCGUGUAAGAUGAUUGUAAAAAGAAUGGAGAAGACAGGAGGGAAGAAGAGAGGAAAGGGUCUUUUUAAUUCUCCUGCUUUACAAGCACAAAUUCCUAUCUAUCAGCAUGUGGAUUCCAGCCACAGCCAAUCAGAAUUGCCUGCCAAAGACCAGAAACUCAGAAGACUAGAAGAAUAUCCUGCUCCAGGAAGAUCUCUCCCACUUCUGCUUACCCCCAGCAAUUCAGCACCAGAUACACUUUGGUAAUUCUGUCUGCUGAUUUCUGAUCAGAUGCACUUAUCAGCUCCUAAUGUCUCUCCUUCCUCCUUAACUGCCUCUUCCGUGAUAGAAUAAGCUAAGCACGGACAUACAGACAUGGAAAUGCAUUAUUAUUUUUUUUUUUUACCACAGUUAAAAAAAAGAAAAAAAAAGAAAAGAAAAAAAUGCACAAUCUUUGGAACAAAAGAAUUAAAGGCAGAAAUUUAAAGGAAAAAUACAUAUUCAAAGAACAUAGUGAGGUUUACAUUAGAACAGGACUUUGGUGAGCAUGUGAUGUCAAGACACCUUCUUUCUACCUGGAAGACAAUGACAUUAUGUGACACUGAGGAGGAAAGUGUAUUUCAAGACCAGCAGACAAAAUGAAAGCUUGUUACCUACAUGUAGUGUAUUGAUCAAUAGAGCAAGACAUCAUUUGACCUUCAUAAAACCCAAAGAGGAAAGUAAGACAGGCACCACAUCUGCAGCUUUGGGGUAAUAGAGGAAGAAGGCCUUGUUGAUUCUUUGGGAUCCUCUAAUAUGAAACAUAGAGUAUUUUCAAUCUGCGAUGCGGAACCCAUGGAUGUGGAACCUGCAGACGUGCAGAGCUGGCUGUACCACCACAGGAAUUGACUCCCAUCACACGGGAACCCUUUCAUCGUCCAUUACCUCAACCAUAGCAGUCUCAGAGCUUUAACUAUCACCUACCUACGGGUGACUUUCAAAUAGUUUUUAGGUCCAACUACAUGUUUUCUCCCAAGCUUUCAUGGGAGGUAGAGUAAAACAGAAGAAAGAGCAUGAACCUAAAAAGCAGACCUGAGUUUAAAUCCCAGAUGUGGAUGAAUUACUUAACUACCCUGUUUCUCCUCUGCAAAAAGAACAACCCUUCAGAGGGUUGUUGUGAAAACUGACAGAAAGUGAAAUUGACUAUUUUGUUGUUUCUUUAGCAUAUUCUCUGUUCCUAUUGAAUUUUUCCGAAUAUUAGAAUCAAUUAUAUAUUAACAUUUAACCAUCUACAACAUGUUAGUCUUUAACAGGGGGAGAGGCAUGAGGGCAAAAAUAAAAUUCUUACCUUUGUAGGACAAAUUUAGAAGGCAAGAAAGGCAUGUAAACUAAUCCAUGUUAUUGGUGCUAAAAAGAAAGCUCUUCAUAAAAUACUAUAAGAGAACCGAAAGAAUGGUCCCAAAUAUAAUUGUCUUCAUUUUUCUAGGAUAAUUAAACUCUGCGUAAUCUUAGAGAGAGAAGGGUGUAUUUUUGUUUACAUCUUCUCUUUUAUUUUUCAACUUCACUCUAGUUUUUUGUUUGGUAAUCUUGAGUCCCACUUAUAUACACAAUCUGCUAUUGUAUUGCUUCUAAUCAACGGGCUAUAAUCCUAGAAGUUUUCCAAUUUCCGUUUACAUAUACAGUCAGAAUGGAUCAUGAAUUCAAACAGAUCAAUAUUAAUUUUAUUCACACCCUCAUAAAAAGAAUCAUUUCAUUAUUUAGGUAGAGCAUAUUUUCACCAGUUUAUCACCACUGACAUCACUAAUCAUUUUUCUAGUACUGUAUACAAAUGGAAAUUAAUUCUCUAGAAUUAUAAUAGAAAAAUAUUUUUGCUUUUAAGUAUUUUACAAAUUAUACCCUUUCUCCCCCUGGGAUUUGCUUAAAUAGGCUGAGAUUUCAAGCUCUACCUGCCUUUGUUUUAAACAAAAACACAAACAAACAAACCCCAGUACCUAAGAAAAGGCCUGCCAUUCUUCUCAAAUCUGGUACUAAAAGAAAUGACUUCUGCCCAAACAUCUGUGACAAGAGGGAAAAAAAUAGCUACAGAACUCUUAUCUCAGAAAGACUAGAAGAGAAUACUGGAUUUAAAAUUAUCUAGGAUCAAUUUAAAAAAAUUAACUCUGUAGAAGAACAACAAACUAAGAAAUUCCAGAAGAAUAAAAUAGGUCAAGUCCACAGUCGACCGGGGACUGAAUUAUAAACUUCAUCACCAAAUGAAGUGAUAAUGAGCACACAGUAGUAGCACUUUAGAAAAUGCUUACUAAAUAGAAUCAAUCAGGUAUAAGUCUAUAAAAAAGAUAGGAGCACUUUUCUCAAUAGCUUAUCAACUCUGCAGGAAGCGUUCCAUAAUAUAAAUAAUCAUUCAUAAAUAUUUAUCUCAUAAAAUGAGUUAUGACAGUUCUAUUAAAAUAUAUAUAAUAAUUGA
Lemur catta (Ring-tailed lemur) is the source of this 4496-nucleotide long non-coding RNA. RefSeq lists it as uncharacterized. The transcript has 7 exons. NCBI's taxonomy places the organism in Eukaryota, Metazoa, Chordata, Mammalia, Primates, Lemuridae. The record is from RefSeq and is a predicted model, not a curated record.